Molecule: long non-coding RNA, 1441 nt
Filed under: Oryctolagus cuniculus (rabbit)
Lineage: Eukaryota; Metazoa; Chordata; Mammalia; Lagomorpha; Leporidae
Description: lncRNA (ENSOCUG00000031154.1)
Source: RNAcentral
GUGGAGAGCAGCACAGCUGUUGUAGCCAUGGCCGUGCUAAUUCGACCCGCACACCUGACCACCAAACAGAUGACAGUGUCUGGCCAAGACCAGAAGCCGUGUGGAGUCUUCAGCAAUGCCGAAUGCUGCCGGGGAUGCUUGUUAGGCGGCAGCAGCUAACUGACACGGGAACCCUGUAGAGGAUUUUGCCAAAACUUGACUGAACAGAACCAAUCACUGAGGAAAAGUCCAUAGCUCAGCCAAUGAUGGCAGCCCCUGCAGUCAGUCACAGAAGGGAAUAAGAGGGCUCUCAGCCCUCGGAAGCUCUGCCCUGGGCCAGCGUCCUGGGCAGGAGGGUGGGACAGCAAAUGGCGACUUUGCUGUGUCUUAGGUGGAGUUGGGGUUCAGAAUAACAUAACGUUAGUGUGUGAGAGGCAGUCUCAAAGCAGGGUUUGUGCAAGGUCUACCCAAAUAUAAUAUACUACAACCAUGGGUGCUGCAUCCUGUGACACCUGUUAAACUAACACGUAGCAUCUUAAAUGUGAUAGUUUGAAGGAGUCCCUAGACUUGACUUCCAGAUUGACCAAACUAACCUGCCAGAGUCUCACCCUUCUUGCAAAGCAGACAAGGACAUGCCCACGAGUGGCCUCAAAUGCACGCAUCAUCUCCAGAGUGACGUGCGGGGUGCUGGUGUCAGAACAGCUGGAUGGAACACAGGCCUGAUCCCACGGAAGGCGACCACUAGUCCCAAUCACUUCCAUGCUGAGAAGGGCUCUGGGGUGCGGUGUCUACGCGGGAGUCUGAGCUACUGAGUGGGGCCCAGCAGGAGCCUCUGCAGGGCAAUGGUGAGGAGGCUGUCUCCAGCAAACACCCCACCCCACCCCAGCGGUGUAGCUGGGGUGACCAGGGCAGGAAAUAGAACUCUGUUGAAAGGGGUGGAGAGUAGUAACAGGAUGGGUCCCUGGGAAGGAACCCAGUGCCUGUGGUGAGAAUGGGUAUCCUGCCGAACUUGGCUGGAACUGGGGCAGGGGCUGGGCUAAGACUGUGUGUUGAUGGCUCUGAGUUCCUUUGGGAGCCUGAAGCGAUCACCAAUGGCUACAGAGGAGAAGCGGAGCCAUCGAACCACUCCCUGCAAAUGGUGGGCAUCGCUGGCACAUGGGUGGCAGGGAGGAUGGCUGGAGGCUGGGAGAUAGCAUGCAAAUGACACAUGUGUGGCAGGGAGGAGGUGGUGGGAACAGGCAGUUGAUUGGGUCCAUUAGCUCUUCCAUAAGUAUAAGUUUCUAAAAGGAACAGGCUCUAAGUUCAGGUAAAUUUUUUUCCCCAAUGACUGCUGGGAAGUAAAGUUGGGAGGGUAGAAGGAGGGGAAGACUGACUGCCCUUUAAAUUUAGUUUCCUUUGUUCCAAAUCAGGGUCUUGAAAUGCAUCAAAUAAAGCACAGACUAAACAAGUGGGGUGAGGGAGG